Molecule: long non-coding RNA, 397 nt
Filed under: Vigna radiata
Lineage: Eukaryota; Viridiplantae; Streptophyta; Magnoliopsida; Fabales; Fabaceae
Description: long non-coding RNA (VRAD_LNC015390)
Source: RNAcentral
CGGAUCGUCGGAUGAAUCUUGAGAGGCGGGGGGAGCAAGAGAAAUGCUCAGUGUGACCAUGGAUCGUGAAAGAGGGCAAAAGAGAAAUGCUCCGUGUUGACCAUGGUGUACUCGGGAUGACAAGACCAUAAGACUUCCGCAGCGAGGGAGGAAGGAGACCAUAGUCCUUUGAUUGAGAGAGGAUGUUGGAGUGCAAAUAAAGUCCCACAUUGAGUAGAAGAAGGGCUGGUCAUGGGUUUAUAUACACAUAGAUACCUCUAAUGGUAAGAGGCCUUUUGGAGUGGUACCAAAAGCAAACCCGUGAGGGCUUGGCCCAAAGCGGACAAUGUCUUACCAUGUGUGGAGAUCUAUGUGUGUGUCGAACCUCCCCCCAACAGGCCAUACCAUCUAGACCAGU